This is a non-coding RNA of Globicephala melas (long-finned pilot whale), 8698 nucleotides long. The record is from RefSeq and is a predicted model, not a curated record. Lineage: Eukaryota; Metazoa; Chordata; Mammalia; Artiodactyla; Delphinidae.
GGGAGGCGCGCCGCUGUUGCGCUUGUGAGGAUCCAGAGGUGGGUUGGGUGGUGUUGGCAAGAGCGCACCCUCUCUCUACAAGGUGAUAGAGAUAAAGGUUGGUGAAUGAGGUGGGAGCCGACUCAAGAUCCAGCGGAUUUCUUGCGGGAGAAAACCACAGUUAAGCCCCGCUCUUGCUGAGACAACACUGAAAUUGCCUCAGCUCAGCCACGCCCUUUCUCUUUUUACCUUCUCGUUUUUCUAGCUGCCUUUUCUUGGAGACUUUCCUUACAGACCUGUCCCUCUGUCGUCUCUGCUCCCUGCUUUAGUGGCUCUUCCAGCUCUAUCCUUCCUCAGGGCAGUGAAAUUUGUUCGUGAGAAGUUUCUUCAUUACAGGUACCAGCUAAAGCCAGAAGGACAUCUACCAAGAGCAGAGAAACCGGCAAGAGAAUUCUGCCUAUUUAAUACAUUCCAGUAUGGAGGGUUUCCAUUUAGAUUAAAAAGUAUAUGUCAUCAGAUGGAAAAAAGUCAAACUCCCGUAUACCUUCUAAUGUUGUGCUGUUUUUGGUUUUUUUUUCCAAAAGACAACUCCCAUAUACCCUCAAAAUGUUGUGUUGUUUUCUGUACCUAUAAACUCUCUAUUUGGUUAUGCAUAGUACUAAUGGCAGGCUUGAAGUGCAUUAUACAGAGUACCUUUAACCCAGAAAUUCAUCUCACAAUUUAGGGAUCCUUGCUUAAGUCUCAACUGUAUCUGCAAUUUCAUCUGUGGGAUCUCUUUUUGCCAUAGGGUCUAGUUUUGUCGUAAAGCUGGAAUUGGAAUGGGAGACUAGGAAGCUUCAGAAGAACUUAAGAAAAUUGGGUUGGCAGGGGUGGUUAGAGAUGUUAAGUUUUACCUUCCUUACCAAAGUACCUGAAGAGCACAGAUACCCAAGCUAUAAAUGGUCGAAAGAUCCUGAGAAUCAGAGUUCCCAGCCAUCUAAAAGAAGCAUGCACAGGGCAGUUACUCUAUAUUAGUUUUCACUUUAAAUUUUAUUGGGAGAUGCAUAGUGUGACAGUUAAAAAAGAUGUAAGAAUCAUAAGUACUAACACUGGAAACAGCUGGAGGUGGAGUGGGGCUGGGAAAUAUUUUGUGAAACAGAUCCUGCUGAGGUUGAAUCCAGAACUUCGCUGAGGGUUCGUUCCACUUCUGCUGUAUGGAACAAGGUUGGAAAUUGACAAGCCCCAGGGCACUGCAGAUGGUAACUGGGAGAGAGGAAUUGGAGUCUGUCGGCAGGUGUGUCUGUGGAAAGCAGCUGCGAUCCUUGAGGAAGAAAAAGUGGAGAAGGAAAGUGGCUAUAAGUCUGUCAGUGACAACACAUCCUGCUAAGUCUUACUCUCCUUUCUGACACUGUGGGUCUUACAUCUGCCCUAGACCUGGCAGCCUCAUUGAGGUUCACAAAGCAUCUCCUAUGUGGCAGUAAGACUGAAAUUAUUAGGUUGGAAUCCAUUCCUGCCAGAGUAAACGAAAGGAAAUCACAGUGUUUGUUAUCUGCUGAUCAUUUUAAAUAGAUCAUGGGGUUCUGUGUUCCUUAUUUGGUAUAUGGCAAGUUGAUAAAUAACUCUUGGUUAAUAUCCUUUAAUGUUUCUGUUACAGUGUGAAAAAUCUGUUAUAAGUAAUUUUUUUAAGAUUAAAAUGCAUGCAUGUUUUAAAGCUGCAACCUCCCAGUCUUUUUUUUAAUCCCACAGAGUAAUUAUAAUGUUGUGUAAGGUUACAUGCCUUGAAGUAGAGGAAUUUACCUAUUUCCAUUACUUAAAAUAGAUGAGAGUCUUAGACAAAGGUACAAAAAAAGGGGAAACUAAUGAAAGGGGGGAGAAGAUGUGGAUGAUGGAGAUUAAGAAGAAAUUUGGUUGUUUUUGUCAAGGGAGUUAGGAGUCAAAUCUUUGAUUUAAAAAAAUCUUGGUUGCUCACUAUUCAGGCUUUGUGAUGAGUUGUCCUGAGUGAGAACUGUUCCCUAGUACUUAAGAACGCUAACAAAUAGUUACCUCGUCCUUCAGGACCUCCACCUAUCUGGAACGUUUUCAACCAUUAAGACCUAUCACUUUCUUGAAGUCUAGCUCCAUAUUCUUUGCAAAAUGUUUUCCAGAUUAGCUCCCCUGAUAAAUUUCCACUGCUUUUUCUUACUUUAGUAAAUAUAAUAACUUACGCUUUCUUGUGCAGUGCCUUUGUAAUCCCCCCACCUCUGCGCAAUGUAUAUUGUUUUCCUAAUUAGACAUAAAUGCCUGGGACCUUCUUGUGUUGCCCACCCUCUUCCCCUUGAGAAAUACCAUUUAAAGGAAUGUUGUGGACAAAAAUCACUUCAGUUAAACUGCCCUUAAAAUAAUUUAUGGACAAAAAUGUUAGCCGUAGGAAUACUUAUCAUCAUAAAAAAUUAGGAAAAAUCUUUAACAAUUAGAGAUUGGUCAAAUUCUAUCAUAUAUACUUAGUGGAAUAUUAUCUAGCUAUUUUUUAAAAGCCAUUAAACUGGCCUUUCUAAUGGAAAAUGUGACCAGUAUGAUUGCUUUGACAUGAAAAAACUAAGUAUAGAACAAAGAGUAAAAAAGGAAGUAACAAAAAUAUAUCAAUCAUCGUUACUGGAAUUACCACUCUAAAACAACCUUUCUGUAAGGGGGUAAUUUUUUUUUUUAUUUUUUUUACUUAGGAGUAGAUGAAAGGAGCUUUUUUUCCCCCAAAAAAAUUUAUGCUUUGUAACAUCCACCUAUAUUACUCUCACCUUUCUAAUUUGGGAAAAACAUACAAACACACAUGUUCUUCAGAAGUAUAUUGCAACUUUUUGAUAGUUCAGUAGCCUCCCUCUGAAACUUUUCUCUAUUGUUAUUAUAGUUAUAUCUAGGACUGUACUACAUAUCUGACUGGUGGAAAAACUCCUGCAAAUUUUACACAAAUUAUACAGUGCACAUUUUCAAGGAUUACUAACGUACAUAAAUGAGAUCUUGAUAUCAUUUGAUACCUUUUGGUAUCAGGAAGGUCUUUAAACAGCCACCACGGAGAGCAAUAAAACCGUUAGAAAAGUUUAAAACCUAAGUUAGCUUUAUUCAUUCUUUAAGUAUUUGAGUAUCUACUCUGUCCUAGUCACUGUUCUAUAGUUGGGGAAACUGUGAUAAAUAGAGCAGACAUGGUCCCUACUACAUUUUAGUGAUAACAGACCAUAAAUAAAUAAACAAGAAAAAUAUAAGUUAGUAAUAGUGCUAGGCAGAGAAUUAACGUAGAUGAAUAUUUUAGAUUAGGUCACUAAGGAAAACUUCUAAAAGAGUGUUUUUAUUUAAACUGCUAUUUGACAGGAGAAUCCAGCUUUGCAGAAAUUGGGGAAACCGUUGCUUGCAGAGGGGACAAAAAUGCAAAACCCUGAGGCAUGAACUAUCCUGGAAUAUUUUGGGAACGAAAAAAAGGCCUGCCUUGUUGGAGCAUAGUGACUACAAGAAGAACUGAAGAGAAGACAGAGAAGAGGAGGCAGUGUGACAACGAGGCUAAGAUUGGAGUAAUACAGCCACAAGUGAAGGAAUACUGACCAGCUCUACCAGACGCCGGGGGAAACAAAAAUCAGAUUCUCCCCUAGGUCCUCCAAAACUGCGGCCCUGCUGACGCCUUAAUUUCAGACUUCUGGCCUCAGAACUGCCAUUUCAGCUCAAUGUCAGGAAACACUUUCUAAUGGAAUGGGGCAAGGAAUGAGUGAAUUUCCAGUCACUUGAAGAAUUCAUGCAUAAAUUGUCACCUACUUGACUGGACAUAGAAGAGAUUCAAGCAUCAGAAGUAUGACUUUUGGAAUAAAUGGUCAAAUGUGAAAGUAAAUUCAGAGAACCCUGAGGUAUCAUUCAGAUGGAGUUACCAGAAGAAGGAAGUAAUCUGGAAUGUUGAGCCACUACAUGAAGGGCUGCCCUGGAGAAACUCCUGGACUCUUAGCAGAUUUGCCUGAUUCCCCCACACUGAAUAGAGAUGACGUGUGAAUAAGAUAUUCUGGAAAUGAAGACAGUGCCAUCCAAGGAUAAGUCUUAAAAGAUAUUGCAGACCCUGCAUUUUUCUCUCUUGGAUUAUCUAUUCUGAAGGAAGUCAGCCACCAUGCUGUGAAGCUGUUACGGAGAGAUCCAUGUGGGGAGGAACUCAGGUCUCCUGCUGGUAGUCAACUAACUUGCCAGCUUUGUGAGCGACUCGUCUUAUAAGUAGAUUCUCCAGGCCUAGUCAAGCCUUUGGGUAACAACAACCCCAGCCAACAUCUUGACUCAUGAGAGACCCCGAACAAAAACUACCCAGCCAAUUUGAUUUAUCCCUAAUCUACAGAAACUAUGAGGUAAUAAAUAUUUAUUGUUACUUUAAGUCACUAGGUUUUGAGGUAAUUUGUUAUGUAGCAAUAGAUAUCUAAUACAUCAUAGUACAUAAAAGGACAGAUAGCUGGAACUUAAUUGAACUUAUAGAAGAGAUUGUAUGAACUGUUGCGUGUAAGCCUCCUUGUUAAUUACUUUUUAAAAUGUCUGUUUAUAUGACGGAAUUUGGUCUAAUACUUGCUUGCACUGUGACUUAGUAAAAAAGCUAUGUCAGAGGAACCACCCCCUUCACUUAUGUCAAAAAUUGGUGGCUACUUUUAUCUGUCAAAAAGAACAAAAUAGUUGUGCGUGACCAAAUUGACUUAGCUAAUUUUGCAAGACAGGCCUAUUGAUUUUUCUGCCUACUACAGCUUGGCUCUAUCCAUUUCUCUUUAUCACCACCAUCAGUCCAGUCCAGACUACCUUCAUGUCUCACCCUGGACCACUAUAACAACCUUCUCACUCAUCUAGUCAUACCCAUUGAUCCUCUUCCAUCCCACCGUCAAUAUUAAAGUUAAAGUGAUCCUUUUAAAACACAAAUCUAUUCAAGUAAUUCCACCACCACCCCUGCCCUUAUUUAAAACCUUUUAGGACUCAGAGAAGAUCAUAAGACAAAGACAUAGCCUAACAUAGCCUACCAAACUCCUGCCCGAUCUGGUCCUGCCAACCCUUUGAGUGUUGUCUUGAACUCUUCUCACUCUUGUUCUCUUUGAUUGCCCGUCACUGGCCUUCCUUCAAUUACUAGUACUUUUCCUGUUCCUACUCACAACAGAGAAUUUGUAUGUGGUGUUUCCUCUGCCUUGAAAUCUCUUCCUUUUCCUGUCUAGUUCAAGUCUGCCUAUCCUUCAUAUCUAGUGCAUGUGUCAGUUCUUCAGCAAAACUUCCCCCAAUCUCCCUGACUGACUCUCAUACAUUCCCAUCAUACAUUCCCUCCUUUGUGUACCUGUCACAUUGCAAUUUUACAUUUGUUUGUGUAAUUAUUUGAUUAAUGUUUGUGUUUACUGCUAUACAUUCUCUAAGAGCAGGUACCAUAUAUAGUUUAACUCAUUUAUGUAUGCCCUGGAGCCCAAGAACAUACUGCAUAUUUGAUAAAUAUUUGAUUAAAGACUUAAUAACUGAUUAACUAAUUGAAUGAACUCAGGUGGGUAUAAAUGUUGCUUCAGAGCCAGAGUGCCUACGUUCAAAUUCUGGCAGUUCCUAACUAUGUAAUGUUAAAAAGAUUUUACCUCACUGAUCUUUAGAUUUGUCCUCUGUAAAUUGGGAAUAAUAAUUACCUUAUAGGGUAUUGCAGGGAAUAAAUGAGUUAAUAUACAUUGAGGGCUUAAAGCCAUUCCCAACACAUUAAGUGCUAUGUAUGGCAAGUGCAAUUAUUAUUAUUAUUGUUAUUAACAUGCUUAGUCAUUUUGUCAUGCUAGUUCCUUAGGCCAUGGCUACCAGUUCCUUGGAUAAGUUCAUUCUUUUCUUACAGAUAACAAAUUCCAAGUGUCUAUGUAAAAACAAGAAGCUCUGUAAAAGACACAAACUGAGGGCAGAGCUUAUAAAUCUUUUUGAGCUGUCCAGUUUUGACUUAGGUAUAAGGAUACUAAUAUUAACCCCCUUAUCACUGGUGUUUCUUUGGUAAUUUCCAAUUUAUACAAAAAGACAAAGCAGUGCUUAAAUGAGAAUUUCAAAGAGUUCUAUAGCUGUCUUUUACUAGGGCACCAAAAAGAAUUGAGCCCACCAUCUCUCUGAGUUUUUUGCAUUGGUUACCUACUUGUAGUUCAAAUAAUGGCAAGAUAUUAACAUAAUAUGUAAUAUUAUUGAUCUCUUUGGAUUAUAGACCUUCUAUACUUUGAGGCACUGACUUUAAAAUGUUAAAGCUACAGGUUUGUAACUUUUGAACACCAUAUGUUAUAAACUGUUGAAAUGAUGUCUCCCUACUUGAUAGUGGAAAUGUUCAUGCUUAGUGCAAAGGCAGCAAUGGUUGGAUCUUGUUUAGCUGCUAAUGCUUCUUAUAGAAGUUGUGAAUGCUUGCACUUUAUUAUAUUCAGGGUCCCCACCUACAGAUAGGUCUCUUGUAAGCUGCCAUUAAUUUGGACAAUAGGUCAUAAACUGAAGGGUUGUUUUAGGUAAGUAUUGCAAAUGAUGUGUUCUGUUCUUUGUUUACUACCAACCAUGAAAAACAACACUGUACUUUCCAGAGAAACUGAGAUCACCCAGUCCUUGCAACUUAGGUCAUUUUCGUUUGGGAGGGGAAAAAAAAAGAAUUCUUUUCAACUCCUUGCCAGUUCCUCCUUGCUUUUUGAGAAGGCGAUACCUCUGAAAGAAAAUAGAUCAAAGAUACAUGGGGCUAAGGGCAGAUCAGAUAGCUAUACUUUGUAGUCUGUUGAAAACAGAGCUAGCUUUACUGGAAAAGAGAUUAUGUGUUAUAGUUAUAAGGAACAGAGGAAAGGUUAGAGGGGUUACUAACCUAAAAAACCAACCCCCAGUCCUCUACCACCUUGUCAGAACUUAAAAUUCCACCAUUAGAAAUUCAUUUGUUUGCAUUUUAAACAGUAAUUCCUUAAAGCAGUUACCUGUGGAAAAAAGUGAAUUCUCUAUCAAUUAUUUUUCCUGAAAGUGAAUUUUGAAAGCACUGAGACCAAGAGGUAACAUUAACUCCUGAAAACUCUGAUUUGACUGUAGGACUGCUAUGGAGAGAAAAGGUUGGAAGAGUACAGGUUACGUUUGAAGAGAAGCUAGAGGGAAAUCUGUGGCCAUAGAAAACAGUGAUUAUAAUGUGUGAUGACUGUGAGGAGAAAGAGAAAAAAGAAGUGGAUUUCUUUUUUGAUUUGUUGCUCUGGGCAUCUACAAUAGAAGAAAGAAAAUAUAUUACUAUAUGAUGAGAUACAAUGAAAAUGACACAGACAAAACAGGAGAGUCAUGCCUAGAAUGUGAGAACAACUGAACUUUCUUAAAUAGCCUGGUCAUUAGCUUUUUUAUGACCAUAAUCAUGCUAAAUUCAUUCCCUACUUGUAGAGUAAUUAGUAUAUAUUGAGCAUCUUGAGAGUAAGACAAAAUUUUUAAGUUUUCUGUUUCUGAGAAGCUCUCCAUAUGUCCUCUCUCCAGUAAUUCACUCAUCAAUGCAUAAACUGUUUACCUAUUAAACUGAAUGUGACAGAUUGAGACCCCAUCCACUAAAAAGUGAGGAAACACAGGUCCCUUUGUCUUGGAACAAGGAACCAAGGAACAUACAAAAAGUAAAGGCAAGAGAAAUUAAAGCAAAAAACAAAUGGGACUACAUCAAACUAGAAAGCAUUUGCACAGAGAAGGAAACUAUCAACAAAACAAAAAGGCAGCCUACUGAAUGGGAGAAGAUAUUUGCAAAUAGUACAUCUGAUAAGGGGUUAAUAUCCAAAAUGUACAAAGAAUUCAUGCAACUCAACAUCAAAAAAGCAAGCAACCCAAUUCAAAAAUGGGCAGAGGACCUGAGUAGAUAUUUUUCCAAAGAAGACAUGCAGAUGGACAACAGACACAUGAAAAGAUGCUCAACAUCACUAACCAUCAGGGAAAUGCAAAUCAAAACCACAAUGAAUUAUCACAUCACACAUGUGAGAAUGGCUAUUAUCAAAAAGACAACAAAUAACAAACGUUGGCAAGGAUGUGGAGAAAAGGGAACCCUCGUGCACUAUUGGUGGGAAUAUAUUGGUAUGACCACUAUGGAAAACACUAUGGUAAUUCCUCAAAAAAUUAAAAAUGGAACUACCAUACGAUCUAGUGAUUCCACUUCUGGGUAUUUUUCUGAAGAAAACAAAAACACUAAUUAGAAAAGAUUCAUGCACCCCAAUGUUCUUUGGAGCAUUAUUUACAAUAGCCAAGAUAUUGUAGCAACCUAAGUGCCCAUCAAUAGAUAAAUGGAUAAAGAAGAUGUAGUAUAUUUGUACAAUGGAAUACUACUCAACCAUAUAAAAGAUGAAAUCUUGUCAUUUACAACAAUAUGGAUGGACCAAGAGCAUAAAGCAUUAAGCCAUGCAGCUAACUCUCCUUAUACCUUUUCCUGCUGUUUACCUGUAAACUGAAAAAGUUACUGCUAUGGUUUGAAUGUUCGGGUCCCCCCAAAAUCUGUAUGUUGAAAUCCUAAUGCUGAGAGAUGAUGGUAUUAGGAGAUGGGGUUUUGGGGAGGUUGCUUAGGUCAUGAGUGUGGAAUCCUCAUGAAUGGGAUUAGUGUUUUUAUGAAAGAGACCCCAUGCAGCUGCUUACCCUCUUCCGUGAGGACACAGAGAGAAGUCACCAGCUAUGAGCCAAAAAAGGCCUUCAUCAGAAUGUGACCAUCCUGGCACCUUGAUUUUGGAUUUCCCAGCCCCCAGAACUGUGAGAAAUAAAUUUGUGUUGUUUAUAGCUCCCCAGUUUGUGAUAUUUUGUUGUA